Molecule: long non-coding RNA, 1846 nt
Filed under: Haliotis rubra (blacklip abalone)
Lineage: Eukaryota; Metazoa; Mollusca; Gastropoda; Lepetellida; Haliotidae
Description: uncharacterized LOC124286230
Source: RNAcentral
GACACCUCUUGCAUGUGUGAUCAUCAUUUUGGAUGUUUUCCGGUGUCAACUGCGCGUUUUCUGAAAUGAUAUAUGAGACGGAUAUCUGCUUUUAGUUCGGAUAACGACUGUCCGUUAUAUUGAGAGACCUUUCGCGUGUAUGAUCACAAUUUUGGAUGUUUUCCGGUGUCAACUCCGCGCAUACUUGAAUUCUUCAAGACAUCUGAAGUUAGUCCGGAUAACGACUGUCCGUUGUAUAGAGAGACCCCUCGCAUGUGUGUUUGCUAUUUUGGAUGUUUAAAGGUUUUUAACUCCGAUUGUUAAUGAAUGCUGCACCACGUAUAAUGUUUGUCCGGAUAACGACUGUCCUUUAUAUAGAGAGACCCACGCUUGUUUGACGAUCGAUGCUUCACAAUUAAUGUUACAGUCAGAUAUGUGACGAGAAGACAGAAUGGAACUUCGGGACAUCGAGUGGCAUGAAACUGAAGUAGACCUGAAGCUUACUUCGAGACAUCGGGUGUGCUUUGAUGAACGCCGAGCAGACCACUGAUGUGGAAAUAAGACUAUCUUCGUAACAUUGCAUGGCAGGACAUUUGCGUAAUACUGGUGGGCAUUUCGAGACAUCCGGAGCUAGAUCGACGUUGGUCAGGACAUAAUGCAGACGUGAGGCAAACCUCGAGACAUCCGUACUGUUCAGAUCGACAUCGGACGGGACACUGGUGUAGACGUUGGGCUAAUUUCGAACUAUCUGGUAUAUUUCGAUCAAUGUCGAACAUCAAACUGUGUUAGACACGAGGCUAACUUCGUGACAUCCGUUUUAGAAAUAAUUCUCAUGGCAAAUAUUGGAGGAGUGGUUGUCUGGGAUAUACGAAACGUGUGCCGUGUUCUGCUAAUGUGACGUCACACAAGGCAUGAACAACACGUCGUGUGACGUCAUAGGAGGAACGGAGAUUAUGUAUUCUAAAAAUAGAAAGAGAAGUUACGUAUCAACGCAAUAUGCGCAGGAUUAAAGGAACUGCUGGAUUACCAGAACAGAACUGGAUGUAACCCUAGAGCACUUAUGUAGCUUUCAAUAUAUCUUGGGUUACCAUGGAUACCAAAUGGAUCUGUUUUGGAAAGCACGGUUUAUGGAAGGUGAGGGCAUACGGAAGCCUUCAACACACUCAACAGCGUGUGAGACAGUUGACACGUACACGACAACGUGAGUGGCGCGACGCUCCUCGACAUGUGAGUGGUUCAGAUUUAAUUCUUCGAUAAAAGCUGAUCAUUCGGUGUAGAUGCUAAGAUAAUUUGACUUCUAGUUUUUAAAUGGCAGGUCACAAAGUUUCUUAAACUGGAUCUCAAAAUGUUGUCAGGAAUAUAUUUAAGCAUUCUGUUAAAAAACGUCCAUUCAUAACUACGGACGGUAACUGUUUUGAUGAAAUCGACAUGUUAUGCCACCUGCGCAAAAACCGCAGUGCGUGCAAGAGCACUUUAUUGUUAAAUGUUGGGUUAUCGCGUUACAGCCCAUGAUUUGCACGUGAAGGAAAGGAAAUGCUGACUUGAAUAUUUGUUUAGCACUUUUGACAGCCAGUCUCGUGUGUUUAUUCAGUUUUUAUCUUCGUCGGAAUUCUAAAGCGCUAUACUGGAUUUAAUGUUAUAAUCUAACGUAAUCUUCGUUAACAAUGAGGACGGUCCAACCAAUAUUAUAUAUUAAUCUGACGUGUAAACAUGUUUUGAAAUAGGUCACUGUGCUAUCGUUUUUAAAAUGUAUAACGGUUUGUGUAUCACCGUUUGUGACUUCAAUAACGUAAAAUAUUACUUCUACUUUUCAAAAACGAACAAGCCAAAAAAUUAACAUGGUUACUUCAAACAGAUGAACACCAUU